AGGUCCGGGGCAGGGCUGCAAACAUGCUGCUUCUACGCUGAGCUGCAUGCAAUUCUAGGGGGGUCCGUCACCACUAUCCCAUCCCUGGCCAUGAAUUCCGAGGUGGGAGUGGUAAUCUCAACCAUGCCCGAGCAGUCUGCGGACAGGGAAGAUGAGGAGAAGAGGAGGACGAGCUUGCAGAGAGCACACAGCACUCCAUUCUCCCCAACAGCCAGGACCUUUUUCUCAGCCUGACAGAAUUACCCUCCGAAGCCAUAUCCCAGACAAUAAAGCCAUGGAAGGGACCUCUGCUUCAAAUUUUUCAAGUCUCUCUCCUCCUUCCCAAAGUCUAUCUCGGAUAAGGCAGCG
Long non-coding RNA from Chelonoidis abingdonii (Abingdon island giant tortoise), 348 nucleotides. RefSeq lists it as uncharacterized. NCBI's taxonomy places the organism in Eukaryota, Metazoa, Chordata, Testudines, Testudinidae. The record is from RefSeq and is a predicted model, not a curated record.